AAGUGUGUAAAACUGUUUAUAUUUCACCUCAAAUCCAUCCUCAUUACCUGUGUAUAUUUGUUUUUCUUAGUUUUUGAAUUGUAUUUUAUUUUGGCGGAGAAGCUUUUAUUUUCUUGUUUCCUGUCUCCUUGUCAUAUCCUGUGUGUUCGCGCUGCCCUCCUCAGUUCGCGCCAAGCUGCGCUGGGGAGAGGUAAGCGUACAAAGUUGUCUUGUGUUUGUCUGUUGAAGUAUUCAAAAUGUCCUUAAAAGUAUUUUUGCCAAACUCGCAAGUUUUUAUAUGUUGUUUCCCAACUGUUUUAUGUUUAGCGCAGCACUGUACUGGGCACUUAAUUCCCACGUUAAGGACAUUUAUUGAGUUUACCGUGCCAAUGUGGUUAUUUUUGUUCUUUUGAUUUGUUAAGGUGUGUGUGGGAAAGCCAGAGCCCAAGAACUGGAGUGCUGAUGCAUUUUUUGUUUUAAACAGAGAAUUUUGGUUGGUUUUACCACAGUCCUGAGUUCGCGCCAAGCUGCGCUGGGGAGAGGUGUGUGUGGGAAAGCCAGAGCCCAAGAACUGGAGUGCUGAUGCAUUUUUUGUUUUAAACAGAAUAACUCUGCCCUACUGCUGCAAUA
Molecule: long non-coding RNA, 609 nt
Organism: Xiphophorus maculatus (southern platyfish)
Lineage: Eukaryota; Metazoa; Chordata; Actinopteri; Cyprinodontiformes; Poeciliidae
Exons: 2
Source: RefSeq, a predicted model, not a curated record